CAUCGCGUCCGGCCCGCCUCCGCGCCGGCGGCCUGUUUCCAGCGGAAGCGCGGGCCAGAGCGGCCCCUAUUGUUGCUGUGUCAUAGGGGAGCGGCGGCGGCCCCUGGCGGCGGCGCCGGGAACAUCGGUCUGGUCUCCGCGACACCCAGAAGGGACCCCGCGGGGCGGCGCUGCAGCAGCGGCCGAGGUCGGACAGGGAUGGUGAGCACUAAAGGUGCCCAUGGAGCCGAGCUGUGACAUACUCGCAGGGACGGCUGUCCUCUGCGUUAUCUACCUGGUUCUGAAUGGAGCCAGCUCUCCACAACCGCAGGAAGACUGCCUUAUCUGAUGUGCAUUAUUUGAAUUGAAAAGCUGGAAUUGGAGAAGCAGAUUCAAAAAACUGCGCGCAUCAGGGCCAGGCCUGCUUUCUCUAGCCAAGCCCUGGCAAGAAGACGUGGAUGCUGGUGACCCAGCUUCAGAGGACCAUCAGAGCAAUGAGAUACAGCCAGUUGUUUCAAUAAUUUAAAAAGUUACUUUUUUACAUAAAACACUCCAGAUGCGUUUAUCUUCUCACCUCUAAAUCUCUAAUAGAUUACAGUAAUUUUCCUUGCGCUUGUAGAAAUGUGACACAAUUCUAACUUCAAUUAGAAUAAAAGCAAAAAACAAGAGCUAUUUGAGAUUAUCA
Long non-coding RNA from Psammomys obesus (fat sand rat), 664 nucleotides. RefSeq lists it as uncharacterized. The record is from RefSeq and is a predicted model, not a curated record. The transcript is spliced from 2 exons. NCBI's taxonomy places the organism in Eukaryota, Metazoa, Chordata, Mammalia, Rodentia, Muridae.